UCUCCGUAGGUGAACCUGCGGAGGGAUCAUUACAAGUGGCCCCGGUCUUACCACCGGGAUGUUCAUAACCCUUUGUUGUCCGACUCUGUUGCCUCGGGGGCGACCCGGCCUUCGGGCGUCGGGGCCCCCGGUGGUCCACACCUCAACUCUUGCAUCUGUGCGUCUGAGUAACAUAUUGAAUCAAUCAAAACUUUCAACAACGGAUCUCUUGGGUCUGGCAUCGAUGAAGAACGCAGC
RNAcentral lists this unclassified non-coding RNA (237 nucleotides) under uncultured fungus. Its description in RNAcentral is "sequence contains ITS1, 5.8S rRNA gene". The stretch from base 189 to 237 matches the Rfam family "5.8S ribosomal RNA", at positions 1 to 49 of the family's 154-position model. The record is from RNAcentral. Lineage: Eukaryota; Fungi.